AGAGUUUGAUCCUGGCUCAGGAUGAACGCUAGCGGCAGGCUUAAUACAUGCAAGUCGAGGGGCAGCAGGUUUUGUAGCAAUACAGAUGCUGGCGACCGGCAAACGGGUGAGGAACACGUACGCAACUUUCCUUCAAGUGGGGGAUAGCCCAGGGAAACUUGGAUUAACACCCCAUAAUAUUACGAAGCGGCAUCGUUUUGUAAUUAAAGCUCCGGCGCUUGAAGAUGGGCGUGCGCCUGAUUAGGUAGUUGGCGGGGUAACGGCCCACCAAGCCUACGAUCAGUAACUGGUGUGAGAGCACGACCAGUCACACGGGCACUGAGACACGGGCCCGACUCCUACGGGAGGCAGCAGUAAGGAAUAUUGGGCAAUGGACGAAAGUCUGACCCAGCCAUGCCGCGUGGAGGAUGAAGGUCCUCUGGAUUGUAAACUUCUUUUAUCUGGGAAGAAAUCUACGGUUUCCACUGUAGUUGACGGUACCAGAUGAAUAAGCACCGGCUAACUCCGUGCCAGCAGCCGCGG
Molecule: ribosomal RNA, 522 nt
Filed under: uncultured bacterium
Lineage: Bacteria
Description: bacterial SSU rRNA
Rfam family: Bacterial small subunit ribosomal RNA
Source: RNAcentral